AACGAACGCUGGCGGCAUGCCUAACACAUGCAAGUCGAACGAGACCUUCGGGUCUAGUGGCGCACGGGUGCGUAACGCGUGGGAACCUGCCCUUAGGUUCGGAAUAACUCUCCGAAAGGGGUGCUAAUACCGGAUAAUGUCUUCGGCCCAAAGAUUUAUCGCCUUUGGAUGGGCCCGCGUUGGAUUAGCUAGUUGGUAGGGUAAAAGCCUACCAAGGCGACGAUCCAUAGCUGGUCUGAGAGGAUGAUCAGCCACACUGGGACUGAGACACGGCCCAGACUCCUACGGGAGGCAGCAGUGGGGAAUAUUGGACAAUGGGCGAAAGCCUGAUCCAGCAAUGCCGCGUGAGUGAUGAAGGCCUUAGGGUUGUAAAGCUCUUUUACCCGGGAUGAUAAUGACAGUACCGGGAGAAUAAGCUCCGGCUAACUCCGUG
RNAcentral lists this ribosomal RNA (433 nucleotides) under uncultured bacterium. RNAcentral's name for it is "partial 16S ribosomal RNA". It matches the Rfam family "Bacterial small subunit ribosomal RNA", at positions 29 to 507 of the family's 1533-position model. The record is from RNAcentral.